This 375-nucleotide ribosomal RNA is filed under the name uncultured bacterium. Its description in RNAcentral is "bacterial SSU rRNA". It matches the Rfam family "Bacterial small subunit ribosomal RNA", at positions 284 to 671 of the family's 1533-position model. The record is from RNAcentral.
UAGCCGGCCUGAGAGGGCGACCGGCCACACUGGGACUGAGACACGGCCCAGACUCCUACGGGAGGCAGCAGUGGGGAAUAUUGGGCAAUGGACGAAACUCUGACCCAGCGACGCCGCGUGCGGGAUGAAGGCCUUCGGGUUGUAAACCGCUUUCAGUAGGGAAGAAGCGAAAGUGACGGUACCUGCAGAAGAAGCACCGGCUAACUAUGUGCCAGCAGCCGCGGUAAUACAUAGGGUGCAAGCGUUGUCCGGAAUUAUUGGGCGUAAAGAGCUCGUAGGUGGUUCGUCACGUCGGAUGUGAAAAUCUGGGGCUCAACCCCAGACCUGCAUUCGAUACGGGCGAACUAGAGUGUGGUAGGGGAGACUGGAAUUCCU